GCCUGGGUGGCUCAGUCGGUUAAGCGUCCGACUUCAGCUCGGGUCAUGAUCUCACGGUUCGUGGGUUCGAGCCCCACAUCGGGCU
Molecule: transfer RNA, 85 nt
Filed under: Felis catus (domestic cat)
Lineage: Eukaryota; Metazoa; Chordata; Mammalia; Carnivora; Felidae
Rfam family: tRNA
About the family: Transfer RNA (tRNA) molecules are approximately 80 nucleotides in length. Their secondary structure includes four short double-helical elements and three loops (D, anti-codon, and T loops).
Source: Rfam by way of RNAcentral